Molecule: ribosomal RNA, 57 nt
Filed under: Amanita oberwinkleriana
Lineage: Eukaryota; Fungi; Basidiomycota; Agaricomycetes; Agaricales; Amanitaceae
Description: partial 28S ribosomal RNA
Rfam family: Eukaryotic large subunit ribosomal RNA
Source: RNAcentral
CGACCUCAAAUCAGGUAGGAUUACCCGCUGAACUUAAGCAUAUCAAUAAGCGGAGGA